Molecule: ribosomal RNA, 482 nt
Filed under: Chrysolina convexicollis
Lineage: Eukaryota; Metazoa; Arthropoda; Insecta; Coleoptera; Chrysomelidae
Description: partial 16S ribosomal RNA
Source: RNAcentral
GUCCUUUUGUUAAUAAUUUAAGGUCUGGCCUGCCCACUGAGAUUUUAAAUGGCCGUGGUAUUUUGACCGUGCUAAGGUAGCAUAAUCAUUAGUUUUUUAAUUAGAAACUGGAAUGAAAGGUUGGAUAAAAAAAUGACUGUCUCUAUUAAAUUUAAUUAGAAUUUUAUUUUUAAGUUAAAAAGCUUAAUUGAUAUUAAAAGACGAGAAGACCCUAUAGAGUUUAAUUAUUAAAUGGAAAUAAUAUUUUAGUAUUAAAUUAUUUAAUUUAUUUAAUAAUUUAAUUGGGGUGAUUGAAAAAUUUAAUAAACUUUUUUUAUUAUAAAACAUUAAUUAAUGAUUAGUUGAUCCAAUAUUUUUGAUUAUAAGAUAAAAUUACCUUAGGGAUAACAGCGUAAUUUUUUUAGAAAGUUCAUAUUAAAAGAAAAGAUUGCGACCUCGAUGUUGGAUUAAAAUAAAUUUUUGGUGUAGGAGCUAAAAUAUUA